GGGGGGGCGGGGUGGGGGGGGGUGAAGGGGGUGACGAGAGUUGUGGCUAUUGGGUGAUCAAUAUUGGUCAGGCCACAAGAAUGCACCCAUUGCAAAUGAUCUCUUCUCUUCAAGGGUGCCCUUGAAGUUUAGACCAUAUUCCCUAAGUAGCAAAUCCAACCUCCACUCCUCCAUCUUCUCAUAAUCGGCCUUGGAGUAUCGAGGGUAAUGAAGAGGCAUUUGGAACCCUCCUGAUGAAGAGAUUGGCUUUGAGCUUUUGAUGACUCUAUUGACUUGUUCGCUGGGGUACCCUACAAUAUGGCUGCCUUGCUGCAUGUUCGUGCUGUCUUUGUUAGGGUACCCUACAACAUGGCAAGCCGAGUGAAGAAGCCACCUCAAAGCCAUCAUUAUUUCUCUCCCUGUAUUUAGGGAUGGAGAGAGAUAUUUCUG
This 429-nucleotide unclassified non-coding RNA is filed under the name Hevea brasiliensis (rubber tree). The record is from RNAcentral. Lineage: Eukaryota; Viridiplantae; Streptophyta; Magnoliopsida; Malpighiales; Euphorbiaceae.